Molecule: long non-coding RNA, 1248 nt
Organism: Balaenoptera musculus (blue whale)
Lineage: Eukaryota; Metazoa; Chordata; Mammalia; Artiodactyla; Balaenopteridae
Exons: 3
Source: RefSeq, a predicted model, not a curated record
GUGAAAAUUAACAAAGGAAAACCUCACUAAGAUGGAGUCAGGAAGCCAGAAGGGGGAGCUCUCAGGCAGUACCACCUGAUGUCAAUUACAGGAAGCAUUGUCAAUUACAGACCCCAACAGAAGAAUCAUCAACAGGAAAGAAUCAUCCAUCACAGAUCCCAACAGGAAAAGAUGUACAUGGUGUCUCCUACAAGAAAUUGACUACCCCAGUAACUCAGCCGAACCUGUUUUUAUUCCUGAAGUUGUUAUUCAUGAAUUCUCCUUUUACUACCAGUAGUGUGAGGUGUUUUACCCCAGUUUCACCUAAUUUAAGCUCCAUUGACAGGGUGCUACUGAGUGAAAGAGUAACAGCUCUAGCUAAUAGUCAUUUGAUAAGUUUGAGUUUAUUAUAGUUCUGGCAGGAGAGAAAUGGCACUCUCAAACUGGGCAAUCUGCAGAGAGCUGAGUAAAACAAUUAUUUUUAAAGUUAUCUGUGGUGUUCAAGGAAAUAGCAAGGGGGAGUGUAGGACCCUGGGGUAGUAACUGCAGGAGAUUAUUACCACCAAGGACCUGGAGAAGAGAAUGGUUCCCAGGCUGUAUUGUGAGUAGCUAUAGGGGAAGGACUCCCAGACAGAUGCUGAUACCAACAACUCAGGAAUGAAGCCAAGGAAAAAUACCCUGACCUCACUUUCCUCUGGUCCUCCAACCUCUUUUGAGAGCCUCCUGUUGACUGAACCAAAUCAGGUGCUGACAGGCAAAGGAGUAGUUAGUCUUUAUAUAUCAGCAACCUGGGAGGGCAAACGCAAGAUAUUCAACACAUUUUGGAUAGCCAUUUUGUUACACUUCCCAGCAGUGUCAUUGGCUUAGUAGGUAGGUGGGUACUUAGUGAGGCUACAAAACUGGAGGACCUUGUUAAGCAAAGAUGAAACAUUUGACAAGUAUAUUGUCUCCCCUGCCUACUCAGGCUGAUUUCUAGAUGAAGAGGUUGGAAGACGGAAUGCUAGUGGUAUCUUUUGGUGUUUUCUGGUUACAUUUAGCAAGGAAUAGAACUAGGAGUUAAGCUCAGGCUGAUAUAGGUUAGUUUGCAGUAAAAAUGGAAAGAAAAGGAGAAGAGAGAAUCCAGAAAUUUGGAGCCUUUUGGAUUGAAAACUCAAAUGGUUUUAGACUCCAAAUAUGAAAAGCAUAUCCUACCCAGUGUGACACAGUUUGAAAACAUGGGUCUCAGCAUAUUACAGGAACCGUGAUCAUCUUUGAAAAUGUAUCCAAAGG